RNAcentral lists this ribosomal RNA (292 nucleotides) under uncultured bacterium. RNAcentral describes it as "partial 16S ribosomal RNA". It matches the Rfam family "Bacterial small subunit ribosomal RNA", at positions 505 to 796 of the family's 1533-position model. The record is from RNAcentral.
GUGUCAGCAGCCGCGGUAAUACGGAGGGAGCUAGCGUUGUUCGGAAUUACUGGGCGUAAAGCGCACGUAGGCGGCUUUCUAAGUCAGGGGUGAAAUCCCGGGGCUCAACCUCGGAACUGCCCUUGAAACUGGAGAGCUAGAAUCUUGGAGAGGCGAGUGGAAUUCCGAGUGUAGAGGUGAAAUUCGUAGAUAUUCGGAAGAACACCAGUGGCGAAGGCGACUCGCUGGACAAGUAUUGACGCUGAGGUGCGAAAGCGUGGGGAGCAAACAGGAUUAGAAACCCUAGUAGUCC